UCAUCGGCCUCAGAUUGGUAGGACUACCCGCUGAACUUAAGCAUAUCAAUAAGCGGAGGAAAAGAAACUAACAAGGAUUCCCCUAGUAACGGCGAGUGAAGAGGGAAGAGCCCAAGAUUGAAAGCUGGCGUCUUCGGCGUCCGCAUUGUAAUCUCAAGAAGUGUUUUCCGCUUCGGACCAAGCCUAAGUCCCUUGGAAAAGGGCAUCAUAGAGGGUGAUAAUCCCGUACAUGGCUUGGAGCGCCCGAAGCUUUGUGAUACGCUUUCUAAGAGUCGAGUUGUUUGGGAAUGCAGCUCAAAAUGGGUGGUAAAUGCCAUCUAAGGCUAAAUAUUGGGGAGAGACCGAUAGCGAACAAGUACAGUGAUGGAAAGAUGAAAAGAACUUUGAAAAGAGAGUUAAACAGUACGUGAAAUUGCCAAAAGGGAAGGGUAGGAGGUCAGAGAUGCGGCCUGGGAUUCAGCCUUGCUUUUGCUUGGUGUUUUUCCCAGAUUGCAGGCCAACGUCGGUUUUGGGCACUGGAGAAGGGUAGGAGGAACGUGGCACCUCUCGGGGUGUGUUAUAGCCUCCUACUGGAUACAGCGACCGAGACCGAGGACAGCAGCGUACUCGCAAGAGCGGGCCUUCGGGCACCUUUACGCUUAGGGC
This 645-nucleotide ribosomal RNA is filed under the name Moesziomyces rugulosus. RNAcentral's name for it is "eukaryotic LSU rRNA". It matches the Rfam family "Eukaryotic large subunit ribosomal RNA", at positions 1 to 619 of the family's 3401-position model. Lineage: Eukaryota; Fungi; Basidiomycota; Ustilaginomycetes; Ustilaginales; Ustilaginaceae. The record is from RNAcentral. RNAcentral also lists the same sequence under 1 other name.